Molecule: ribosomal RNA, 376 nt
Filed under: uncultured bacterium
Lineage: Bacteria
Description: bacterial SSU rRNA
Rfam family: Bacterial small subunit ribosomal RNA
Source: RNAcentral
AACGAACGCUGGCGGCAGGCCUAACACAUGCAAGUCGAACGCCCUAGCAAUAGGGAGUGGCAGACGGGUGAGUAACGCGUGGGAACCUUCCUUAUGGUGCGGAAUAACUCGCCGAAAGGCGUGCUAAUACCGCAUAAGCCCGCAAGGGGAAAGAUUUAUCGCCAUAAGAUGGGCCCGCGUAGGAUUAGCUAGUUGGCGGGGUAACGGCCCACCAAGGCUACGAUCCUUAGCUGGUUUGAGAGAANGGACCAGCCACACUGGACUGAGACACGGCCCAGACUCCUACGGGAGGCAGCAGUGGGGAAUCUUGGACAAUGGGCGCAAGCCUGAUCCAGCCAUGCCGCGUGAGUGACGAAGGCCUUCGGUUGUAAACUAC